This 276-nucleotide long non-coding RNA is filed under the name Olea europaea subsp. europaea. The record is from RNAcentral. Lineage: Eukaryota; Viridiplantae; Streptophyta; Magnoliopsida; Lamiales; Oleaceae.
CUCCAAACCAGUUUAAAAUAAAAAAAUCUGUAGCUCGUAAAAAAUAUUUUGCUUAGAUUAUAGGAAGACUGGAUACCUUUAUAAUUUUGCCAUUUCAAUCUAGGGAAAGACACACAUACAUUAAGAAAGCAAGAAAUUAUCUGGUUACCUAAAUAGCCAAUAUAUAAAGAUGAAAUGACCUGGGUAAAUAUAGUAUGUUAAUAAGUAUGUCUUUCCAUAGCUAGUUGCACAUGUGUAUUUGUUCAGUAUCUACCUCGUGAUCACCUACUCCUGCUA